GAGGAAUAAGCAUCGGCUAACUCCGUGCCAGCAGCCGCGGUAAUACGGGGGAUGCAAGCGUUAUCCGGAAUCAUUGGGCGUAAAGCGCCUGUAGGUUGUUUAAUAAGUCUGUUGUUAAAGACUAGGGCUUAACCCUAGAAAAGCAAUGGAAACUACUAGACUAGAGUAUGGCAGGGGUAGAGGGAAUUUCUAGUGUAGCGGUGAAAUGCGUAGAUAUUAGAAAGAACACCAGUGGCGAAAGCGCUCUACUGGACCAUUACUGACACUCAGAGGCGAAAGCUAGGGUAGCAAAAGGGAUUAGAUACCCCUGUAGUCCUAGCCGUAAACGAUGGAUACUAGAUGUUGUAUUUUUUACAGUAUCCUAGCUAACGCGUUAAGUAUCCCGCCUGGGGAGUACGCUCGCAAGGGUGAAACUCAAAGGAAUUGACGGGGGCCCGCACAAGCGGUGGAGCAUGUGGUUUAAUUCGAUGCAACGCGAAGAACCUUACCAGGGCUUGACAUACUGCGAAUCUUCUUGAAAGAGAGGAGUGCCUUCGGGAAUGCAGUUACAGGUGGUGCAUGGCUGUCGUCAGCUCGUGUCGUGAGAUGUUGGGUUAAGUCCCGCAACGAGCGCAACCCUUGUUUUUAGUUACCAAUUCGUUGGGUUCUCUAGAAAGACUGCCGGUGACAAACCGGAGGAAGGUGAGGAUGACGUCAAGUCAGCAUGCCCCUUAUGUCCUGGGCUACACACGUGCUACAAUGGUUAGGACAAAGAGUCGCAAGUUUGUAAAAACAAGCUAAUCUCAUAAACCUAGCCUAAGUUCAGAUUGUAGGCUGCAACUCGCCUGCGUGAAG
This 834-nucleotide ribosomal RNA is filed under the name Haptophyta environmental samples. Its description in RNAcentral is "bacterial SSU rRNA". It matches the Rfam family "Bacterial small subunit ribosomal RNA", at positions 481 to 1325 of the family's 1533-position model. Lineage: Eukaryota; Haptophyta. The record is from RNAcentral.